Molecule: ribosomal RNA, 497 nt
Filed under: uncultured bacterium
Lineage: Bacteria
Description: partial 16S ribosomal RNA
Rfam family: Bacterial small subunit ribosomal RNA
Source: RNAcentral
GAUGAACGCUGGCGGCGUGCCUAAUACAUGCAAGUCGAGCGAACAGACGAGGAGCUUGCUCCUCUGACGUUAGCGGCGGACGGGUGAGUAACACGUGGAUAACCUACCUAUAAGACUGGGAUAACUUCGGGAAACCGGAGCUAAUACCGGAUAAUAUAUUGAACCGCAUGGUUCAAUAGUGAAAGACGGUUUUGCUGUCACUUAUAGAUGGAUCCGCGCCGCAUUAGCUAGUUGGUAAGGUAACGGCUUACCAAGGCGACGAUGCGUAGCCGACCUGAGAGGGUGAUCGGCCACACUGGAACUGAGACACGGUCCAGACUCCUACGGGAGGCAGCAGUAGGGAAUCUUCCGCAAUGGGCGAAAGCCUGACGGAGCAACGCCGCGUGAGUGAUGAAGGUCUUCGGAUCGUAAAACUCUGUUAGUAGGGAAGAACAAAUGUGUAAGUAACUAUGCACGUCUUGACGGUACCUAAACAGAAAGCCACGGCUAACUACGUG